AUGUGAUCGUCUCUCGCAUAUCAAUAAGCGGAGGAAAAGAAACUAACAAGGAUUCCCCUAGUAACGGCGAGUGAAGCGGGAAGAGCUCAAAUUUGAAAUCUUAAAGGGUUUCCCUUUACGAAUUGUAGUUUAAAGAAGUGUUUUCUGUUGAGGUUUUGGUAAAAGUUCUUUGGAAUAGGACAUCAUAGAGGGUGAGAAUCCCGUAUUUGACCUUUACUUUCAACUUUGUGAUACACUUUCAAAGAGUCGGAUUGUUUGGGAAUGCAGUCCAAAAUGGGUGGUAAAUUUCAUCUAAAGCUAAAUAUUGGCGAGAGACCGAUAGCGAACAAGUACCAUGAGGGAAAGAUGAAAAGAACUUUGAAAAGAGAGUUAAACAGUACGUGAAAUUGUCAAAAGGGAAGCGUUUGACACCAGUGUUGUUUUUCUGAAAAUCAAUUAAAGAACUGUUUAUGCUAAGCUGUUUAGACUUUAUCAGCUAAUCUGUUUAGUUUUGAGCUUUUCUUUAAUGCACUUUUCAGUUAACAAGUCAACAUCAAUUUCUUUUGCUGUAAAAAAGCUUGAGGAAGGUGGCUUGAGAUUCGUCUUAAGUGUUUAUAGCCUCUUGCCUAUGCAGUCGGAGAGAUUGAGGUCUGCAGCGUAGAUCCUUCGGGGCUAAAUGCAUUUGUGCUAAGUUAUAGCAUUUCAUAGACAACUUGUUGACUAUGAUUUGUCUUGUAGCUUACUCGCUUAUGUUAUUUUACCUACGCUUAGGAUGUUGAUAUGCAUGACUGAUAU
This 774-nucleotide ribosomal RNA is filed under the name uncultured Neocallimastigales. RNAcentral describes it as "partial large subunit ribosomal RNA". It matches the Rfam family "Eukaryotic large subunit ribosomal RNA", at positions 24 to 640 of the family's 3401-position model. Lineage: Eukaryota; Fungi; Neocallimastigomycota; Neocallimastigomycetes; Neocallimastigales. The record is from RNAcentral.